RNAcentral lists this ribosomal RNA (653 nucleotides) under Streptomyces sp. ACS52. RNAcentral describes it as "bacterial SSU rRNA". It matches the Rfam family "Bacterial small subunit ribosomal RNA", at positions 96 to 763 of the family's 1533-position model. Lineage: Bacteria; Bacillati; Actinomycetota; Actinomycetes; Kitasatosporales; Streptomycetaceae. The record is from RNAcentral.
UGGCGAACGGGUGAGUAACACGUGGGCAAUCUGCCCUUCACUCUGGGACAAGCCCUGGAAACGGGGUCUAAUACCGGAUAACACUCCUGCCUGCAUGGGCGGGGGUUAAAAGCUCCGGCGGUGAAGGAUGAGCCCGCGGCCUAUCAGCUUGUUGGUGGGGUAAUGGCCUACCAAGGCGACGACGGGUAGCCGGCCUGAGAGGGCGACCGGCCACACUGGGACUGAGACACGGCCCAGACUCCUACGGGAGGCAGCAGUGGGGAAUAUUGCACAAUGGGCGAAAGCCUGAUGCAGCGACGCCGCGUGAGGGAUGACGGCCUUCGGGUUGUAAACCUCUUUCAGCAGGGAAGAAGCGAAAGUGACGGUACCUGCAGAAGAAGCGCCGGCUAACUACGUGCCAGCAGCCGCGGUAAUACGUAGGGCGCAAGCGUUGUCCGGAAUUAUUGGGCGUAAAGAGCUCGUAGGCGGCUUGUCGCGUCGGAUGUGAAAGCCCGGGGCUUAACCCCGGGUCUGCAUUCGAUACGGGCAGGCUAGAGUGUGGUAGGGGAGAUCGGAAUUCCUGGUGUAGCGGUGAAAUGCGCAGAUAUCAGGAGGAACACCGGUGGCGAAGGCGGAUCUCUGGGCCAUUACUGACGCUGAGGAGCGAAAGCGUG